Molecule: ribosomal RNA, 534 nt
Filed under: Wickerhamia sp. NCAIM Y.01938
Lineage: Eukaryota; Fungi; Ascomycota; Pichiomycetes; Serinales; Debaryomycetaceae
Description: eukaryotic LSU rRNA
Rfam family: Eukaryotic large subunit ribosomal RNA
Source: RNAcentral
AAACCAACAGGGAUUGCCUCAGUAACGGCGAGUGAAGCGGCAAAAGCUCAAAUUUGAAAUCUGGUAGUUUCACUAUCCGAGUUGUAAUUUGAAGAGAUAACUUUGGAAUUGGCUCUUGUCUAUGUUCCUUGGAACAGGACGUCACAGAGGGUGAGAAUCCCGUGCGAUGAGAUGCCCAAUUCUAUGUAAAGUAUUCUCGACGAGUCGAGUUGUUUGGGAAUGCAGCUCUAAGUGGGUGGUAAAUUCCAUCUAAAGCUAAAUAUUGGCGAGAGACCGAUAGCGAACAAGUACAGUGAUGGAAAGAUGAAAAGAACUUUGAAAAGAGAGUGAAAAAGUACGUGAAAUUGUUGAAAGGGAAGGGCUUGAGAUCAGACUUGGUUUUAAUUUAUUAUUACUGGGCCAGCAUCGGUUUGUGCGGUAAGAUAAGACUAGUGGAAAGUAGCUCAUUGAGUGUUAUAGCCAUUAGUGAUGUUACCAGCGUAGACCGAGGACUGCGAUUUUAUCAAGGAUGUUGGCAUAAUGAUCUUAAGCCGC